ACUGCCACCACCCUCCUCCGUGUUCUCAUCCACUCGAACAUCUCCACCAAAUCCUUCUUCAUUCACGAGGUGUUGUUCCUAGAGCCUGUCCUUGAGACCUCCCACUUCUUAUGUGCGGCAGCCACGACGACCGCAUCUGUCGCCCAUGCCAUGGACGUUCUCGGCUUCUUAAACCGAGUGAAGAUGAUAAACAAGAGAGACAAAAGGAAGAAGAAAGGGGCAAUUUAGAAAAUAUACUGAAAGAGUAAGUAAUAGCAUAUUUCCAAUUUCAACAAAUCUAUAAUGGCACUGUUACAAUAAGAUGAAUAGUAAUAGUAUUUUUUUAAAACAGAAAAAUUUAUAAUAAUAUGAUCUGUUUAACCCAAUUUAGCACUUAGAGAUUACAACUGUGCCUAACUUAUUUAAAAAAUCAGAAAAUAAAAUAUACCCAACUUUUGUUCAGCUAUUUUAAAGAUUGAUCUGAUUUUAGAAAUAGCAACGUUCCCAACGAGGCCAUUCUAACUCCUUUAUUUAAUUUUCCCAACGCGUGAAGUACAGUGCCCCAGUUCCAGAAACAAAAAAGGCAAC
This 567-nucleotide small RNA is filed under the name Oryza sativa Japonica Group (Japanese rice). RNAcentral's name for it is "sRNA Os02g0200950". The record is from RNAcentral. Lineage: Eukaryota; Viridiplantae; Streptophyta; Magnoliopsida; Poales; Poaceae.